AAUGAACGCUGGCGGCGUGCCUAACACAUGCAAGUCGAGCGAGAAAGUCCCCUUCGGGGGCGAGUAAAGCGGCGCACGGGUGAGUAACGCGUGGGUAACCUGCCCUUGAGUGGGGGAUAACCAGCCGAAAGGCUGACUAAUCCCGCAUACGACCGGCAGACACAAGUCUGUCGGGGAAAGAUGGCCUCUGCUUGCAAGCUAUCGCUCUUGGAUGGGCCCGCGUUGGAUUAGCUAGUUGGUGGGGUAACGGCCUACCAAGGCUGCGAUCCAUAGCUGGUUUGAGAGGACGACCAGCCACACUGGUACUGAGACACGGUCCAGACUCCUACGGGAGGCAGCAGUGAGGAAUAUUGCGCAAUGGGGGAAACCCUGACGCAGCGACGCCGUGUGAGCGAUGAAGGCCUUCGGGUCGUAAAGCUCUGUCAGAGGGAAAGAAAGGGUCGGCGGAAUAAUACCCGCCGACAUUGACGGUACCCUCGGAGGAAGCACCGGCUAACUCCGUG
This 503-nucleotide ribosomal RNA is filed under the name uncultured bacterium. RNAcentral describes it as "bacterial SSU rRNA". It matches the Rfam family "Bacterial small subunit ribosomal RNA", at positions 29 to 507 of the family's 1533-position model. The record is from RNAcentral.